AUUUAACUGACGAGUCUCAAAUAAUACGAAACGACUUUCCUAAAU
RNAcentral lists this non-coding RNA (45 nucleotides) under Schistosoma bovis. Lineage: Eukaryota; Metazoa; Platyhelminthes; Trematoda; Strigeidida; Schistosomatidae. RNAcentral also lists the same sequence under 1 other name. The record is from RNAcentral.